GUAACAAUUAGGAAAAAUAUUUUUGAAAAAAACCUAGACCUGACUCUGUAAAAUGAAUCUAAUAAAAAGCAUGCAGCCUUCCAAAUAGCUGGAAUAAGAAGAACUGCAAAAACAACAGACACAUGGUUCAUAUCCAAGGGAACAAGGUCUAGUGUCGCCAUCUCUAAGCGGUCUCAGGCUGUGUGUCCAACCUCGGGCAGAUGCCUUCCACAGCCCCAGCCCACGGGACAUGCCUCCACCCACAUCCUUGCUCCGUACCAAAGACAUGGUCAUCCCUGGGUUCCCCUGGCAGAAAGUAGAAGAAAGAAAAGAAGCAUGACCCUUCCUAAGGGAGCUGGUGAUUGCAAAAUCAGGAAUGACGAGCACAGACAGCCCACAAGCUCCUAGCAAGCAGUGGAAAUUGGAGCAGACUUCCUGCUUCUCUCUUAUACACCAGAGAAACAGCCUAAUGAAUGUGUUAGCAUGUAAGUUUAAUUUUAGACUAGGUCAUAUUAACACAUGAAAACAUUACUUGUCUCCAGAUAUUGAACAGGAGAAAGAGACUUAUGUGAAAAAGAGAAAGUAAGGCUUGUUGGAAAGCUGUCAUUGAUAGAGUUUUCCUAAUGCAAAAUUGAUGCUUCAGAGAAACCAAAAUCUUGAUGAAAAUGUUAUCAAUUUCCAUGAUGUUAGUUAGAAUAAAAUGACCAAUGGAAAAUAUUUUAAAAUAUUA
Molecule: long non-coding RNA, 709 nt
Filed under: Struthio camelus australis
Lineage: Eukaryota; Metazoa; Chordata; Aves; Struthioniformes; Struthionidae
Description: lncRNA (ENSSCUG00000012478.1)
Source: RNAcentral